GAUGAAGAACGUAGCGAAAUGCGAUAAGUAAUGUGAAUUGCAGAAUUCAGUGAAUCAUCGAAUCUUUGAACGCACCUUGCACCCUUCGGCAUUCUGAAGGGUAUGCUCGUUUGAGUGUCAUUGUACUCUCACACUCCCGAUCUUUGCAUUGGGAGCAGUGGACUUGGGUUUGCUGCUUCACCGUCGCUUACCUCAAAUAGGUUAGUGCAACUCUUGGUUGGACAUAGUACGGCGUGAUAAGUGUUCUUCGCCGGUGCCUCGCAAAGAGGGUGGCCGAUCGGGAUGUUGUGCUCCAAACCGUCUUCGGACAAUCUCUGACGACUUGACCUCAAAUCGAGUAAGACUACCCGCUGAACUUAAGCAUAUCAAUAAGCGGAGGA
This 380-nucleotide unclassified non-coding RNA is filed under the name soil metagenome. Its description in RNAcentral is "partial contains 5.8S ribosomal RNA, internal transcribed spacer 2, and large subunit ribosomal RNA". The stretch from base 1 to 120 matches the Rfam family "5.8S ribosomal RNA", at positions 35 to 154 of the family's 154-position model. The record is from RNAcentral.